This is a long non-coding RNA of Falco peregrinus (peregrine falcon), 2664 nucleotides long. RefSeq lists it as uncharacterized. The record is from RefSeq and is a predicted model, not a curated record. The transcript is spliced from 2 exons. NCBI's taxonomy places the organism in Eukaryota, Metazoa, Chordata, Aves, Falconiformes, Falconidae.
CUUCGUGCUCGCACAUAUCCAGUCUCUGAUCCUGUGUGGUGUUGAUCUGGCUGAUCAGCCCAUACUGGUGCACAUAUGGAAGCUUUGUUGUAAGUGCCACCGAGGCCAAGGUUGUCCUGCAAGUGAAAGGCACCUAUUGUGAGUUCCUCAGCAGGGUCUGCUUUGUUUCCAAGGGGGAUUUAGGUGAUUACUUCGCAGGAAGCUGACACACAAAGGCACUCAGAUGUCAUGAUGAUUAGAUGGGGUAGAUAGAGUAGGGAGUAAUGGAACUAAGGAAGGAGGCUGACAGUAUUUUCCACUUGUUUCUUGGGUGGGAAGUCACUCCCAACAGCAGAGCGGGGGAUUGGGUGUCAUCUUCUACUGCUGUCUGCUGGCAGCAGUGCAGGUGGGACUCCCUGGCCAGCAGCCCUGCAGGCUGCCCGACUUGUUGAGCCAGUUUCACCUUAAGAUGUAAUUAAGCGGUCUUGUUGAAUGCAGCAGGGAAGAAAGAGCAGUAUGUUCUGGUGUCGUUUUCAUGUGUCGUGCCAACGCUAGAGUAUGUGGAGCAUGAAAACAGGUAACUCUUUAGCACCGAGUGCUCACUAGCGAGUGCAAAGCUUAAGAUCUGGGCAAGGCAGGGCGUUUUCAGGACCGUGUAAUGUUGUCUAAAGGAGGGGAAUAGUUGGUACCAAAGCAGAUUGAUCUCGUGCCUGUAACGUGUCCCAGUAGCUGAGGAAAUCCUAUUUAAUGGGAGAACAGUCUUUGUGUAAACAGAAACAGCGGCUCCAUGCAAGGUUAAAACCUCUGCCACCACCCUGAGCCAUCUGAGUCAAAACAUGAGGUAAUAGGAGGUGAGGAAUUAAGAAACCACGCUCUGUUCCCAGCUCUCAGACAAAGCUGCUAAGAAUAGAGGUGGGAUGAGGAAGGGGAAGGAAAGUUGGGAGGAGAAGUCAAGGCAUUUCCUUUGAGGCCCCUAAAGGGCCUGGAAAGGUUCAGAGAUGACCUUCUUUUCCUCUGUGUUCUGUAUCUCCAUAGCCUUUUCUGGAUGCUUCAGCUGGUCCUGUCACUGCCCAGAUAAGCACCAUUUGUUCUGAAUGAGGCACUUCCAGCCCCUCUGCUUGACCUCACGUAAACCCUGUGAGAUUUAUUGACCCAGAGUAGUUUUUUCCAAGGUGCUAAUAGCCUGCAGGCACCAUUGACUUCAGAUGAAGUGAUGCUCAGCUCUCUCCCUGUAGAUCAGCCACUUUAGGUUGGACACUUGAAGCUUGAAACACUUGUAGUUAGAGGAUGCGUUUGAAAAUGUGGGUUCCAGACAUCCUUGUAUCUGAACUUCCUCAUCUAUCAAACAGAAAUCAUUAUCUGGCUAAUUAGCAUGAUGCUUCUGUAUCUGUCCACGUAGCGGUCUCUGGGUCUACUUACUUAGAUGACUGAAGUGCUCUGCCUGAGGAGACUGCCUAAAGCUGAGACACGUGUGGGUCACAGAUAUGUUCCUGAUCAAUUGUUAAUGUACACUGACAUGGGUUGGCUCAACUUCAGACAUCAUGACCGUGGUUUAAGUGAACAGAAUUGCAAUUGUCUGAGUAAACAGUGUCUUCGUAGGAGUUCUUUCAGUUCUACACCCAGCAAGUGUGAUUAAAAAAGACAAAAUUAAACAAACAAAAAUCACUCACUUUUUCUUCCUUGAAAAAUGCCUGUCAUUCAUUCUGAUUUGUUAGCAAUGAAAGGCCAAGCAAAUAAGGAGAAAAUAUAUUUCUGUCUUCCCCAAGGACUUUGCAGAAGCGUGUGUGGUGCAGAAAUACAAGCUGCCUUCUUACUUGAACUGGCCCUUAAACUGUGAAUAUUGCUUGCUGAUUUUGGCACCUCAUUACCAGCAUUUCCAUGGCAUUUUCAGAAGAACAGCACAGCUCCCAGCAUGAGCAGAUGACAAAGUUGAAUUUAACUUUCAGACCCUUCCAAAAUGAAUAAAUAACUAAAUAAACCAAAGUGGAGUCAAAGAAGAGGAUCAACUUCUGAGCACAAGUGUCCGUCCAGCUUUGUGACACAGGUGUGUGGGAACAAGGUGGGAACAACGGGAGUUCCCUGUUGUGAAUCUCAGAGCAGUGAAAUUUCAUCCUGGUUCUGAGACAGCAGCAACGGAAGCAAAAUCUAUGUUGGUUCUCAGUGUGCCACCUGACAAACUCUUGGAAACAGUGCUGUCCAACACGAUGAACAUCAGAGGUAGAAAUAGGAGAAAAGAAGAAAAUGGUCUUGAGAUUGUGUUGAAAAACUCAACUUCUGCUCAUGAUUUUGCCAGAGACUGAAGGCUAAGGAAACCUUGCUUCUCUCUUGCAAAUGGUUCAUUUGCUUUUAAUGAGAUUUCAAGUGUGUUGAUCAGUACCGGCUUUGUACCAUGACUAUGAUGGAUCCCCUAGCUGGUCACUCAGCAGUCAGAGCCCUGCCUGUCCCUCCAGGUCCCUUUAUCCUGAGCAGACCCAGCACUGGCCCUCCUCUCAGACUCUGGUGCAUAGGUUUUCUUCAGCCCAUCAAACUGGGAGCACUCUAAACCAGUUAUGUGCUGACAGUGACACAAUAGUUGAAGUAGACAAACUCCUCAACCUUCCCAGGGUUCCAGAUGUAGGAGUAUUUUACUUGACUAGCACAAUAAAUGUCUAGGUUUAGACAAAAUAAUAAAACCAGCUGCACACA